RNAcentral lists this ribosomal RNA (1200 nucleotides) under Lacticaseibacillus rhamnosus. Its description in RNAcentral is "bacterial SSU rRNA". It matches the Rfam family "Bacterial small subunit ribosomal RNA", at positions 287 to 1472 of the family's 1533-position model. Lineage: Bacteria; Bacillati; Bacillota; Bacilli; Lactobacillales; Lactobacillaceae. The record is from RNAcentral.
GAAACUUGAGAGGCUGAAUCCGGCCCAUGACUCGAGAAACCGCCCAAGCUCCUUUACCGGGAGGCAGCAGUAGGGAUCUUCCACAAAUGGAAGCCAGUCUGAUGAGCAACGCCCGCGUGAGUGAGAAAGGCUUCCGGUCGUAAAACUCUGUUGUUGAGAAGAAUAGUCGGCAGAAGUGAACUGUUGUCGGCCGUGACGGUAUCCUAACAGAAAAACACGGCUAACUACGUGUCCAGCAGCCGCGGUAAUACGUAGGUGGCAAGCGUUAUCCGGAUUUAUUGGGCGUAAAGCGAGCGCAGGCGGUUUUUUUAAGUCUGAUGUGAAAGCCCUCGGCUUAACCGAGGAAGUGCAUCUGAAACUGGGAAACUUGAGUGCAGAAGAGGACAGUGGAACUCCAUGUGUAGCGGUGAAAUGCGUAGAUAUAUGGAAGAACACCAGUGGCGAAGGCGGCUGUCUGGUCUGUAACUGACGCUGAGGCUCGAAAGCAUGGGUAGCGAACAGGAUUAGAUACCCUGGUAGUCCAUGCCGUAAACGAUGAAUGCUAGGUGUUGGAGGGUUUCCGCCCCUCAGUGCCGCAGCUAACGCAUUAAGCAUUCCGCCUGGGGAGUACGACCGCAAGGUUGAAACUCAAAGGAAUUGACGGGGGGCCGCACAAGCGGUGGAGCAUGUGGUUUAAUUUGAAGCAACGCGAAGAACCUUUCCAGGUCUUGACAUCUUUUGAUCCCCCGAGAGAUCAGGUUUCUCCUUUUGGGGCAAAAUAACAGGUGGUGCAUGGUGGUCGUCAGCUCGUGUCGUGAGAUGUUGGGUUAAGUCCCGCAACGAGCGCAACCCCUAUGACUAGUUGCCAGCAUUUAGUUGGGCACUCUAGUAAGACUGCCGGUGACAAACCGGAGGAAGGUGGGGAGGACGUCAAAUCAUCAUGCCCCCUAUGACCUGGGGUACACACGUGCUACAAUAGAUGGUACAACGAGUGGCGAGACCGCGAGGUCAAGAUAAUCUCUUAAAACCAUUUUCAGUUCUGACUGUAGGCGGCAACUCUCCUACACGAAGUCGGAAUAGCUAGUAAUAGCGGAUCAGCACGCCGCGGUGAAUACGUUCCCCGGCCUCGUACACACCCCCCCUCACACCACGAGAGUUUGUAACACCCGCAGCCGGUGUGGUAACCCCUUUAGGGAGCGAGCCGUCUAAGGUGACACGUGG